CGAACGGGUGAGUAACACGUGAGUAACCUGCCCACAACUUUGGGAUAACGCUAGGAAACUGGUGCUAAUACUGGAUAUGUGCUCCUGCUGCAUGGUGGGGGUUGGAAAGCUCCGGCGGUUGUGGAUUGACUCGCGGCCUAUCAGCUUGUUGGUGGGGUAGUGGCCUACCAAGGCGGCGACGGGUAGCCGGCCUGAGAGGGUGACCGGCCACAUUGGGACUGAGAUACGGCCCAG
RNAcentral lists this ribosomal RNA (234 nucleotides) under uncultured Actinomycetales bacterium. RNAcentral's name for it is "partial 16S ribosomal RNA". It matches the Rfam family "Bacterial small subunit ribosomal RNA", at positions 99 to 334 of the family's 1533-position model. Lineage: Bacteria; Bacillati; Actinomycetota; Actinomycetes; Actinomycetales. The record is from RNAcentral.